Molecule: long non-coding RNA, 664 nt
Organism: Quercus robur (English oak)
Lineage: Eukaryota; Viridiplantae; Streptophyta; Magnoliopsida; Fagales; Fagaceae
Exons: 2
Source: RefSeq, a predicted model, not a curated record
AAAAGGUAAAAGCUUUCAAAAUUCAUUAUUUUGAAAAUUCUUUUUUUUUUCUCUCUCUGAUGGUCCAUCUCCAUGUUCAUCAUCAUCACGAUUUGCUACUGCUUUCUUCCACCACAACGUUGGCAACACUUCUUCUCUAUUUUUACUUCAUCUAUUCCUGCCCAGGCCUAUAGAUAUAUCUCAUGGCUAGAUGAUAACUCUUUUAGUUUUUUUACUUGAUAGGAUUAGCAUUGAAGCCCAAAUUAGAACAAUUGAAGUUGCCCUACAAAUGACUAUGGGAGAAAAAGUAAAGUUGCAUGAGUUAAGGAGAUUAUAUAUAUAUAUAUAUAUAUAUAUAGAAUAUUUAGGUUUAUUUAUCAAAUACAAUGAUGAGGUCAAUUUGAAUGUAAAUGCGGGAGGGUGGGGAGACUUUUUUUUCCCCUGACGUUUAACUCUCCAAACUCUCUUGUUAGUUUUAUGAGUUUUUUUAAUUUUUUGUGCUCUUCUUUAUAUCAUCAUCAUAGAGGGAAAAGAUUGUAUCCUGUAUGAGGUUUUUUUUUUUUUUUUUUUUUUUUUUUGAGCUCUUUUUUAUCAUGGUAGAGGGAAAGGAGAUGUUGAUUGUAAACGACUAUAAUAGAAAGGAAGUGCAAAAAUGUUGGUGAACCUCUUUAACGUUACUUUUGCA